AUCUAACAGAUCAAACACAUUCCAGGAGUUUGGAACGUAUAAAUCUUUUUAGCAUUCUGGUGUCUGCAGAAAGAGCAGGGUUUAUCGACAAUCUGGGAAAGAAACAAAGCUCCAGCUUUGUCUCGAUACACAGAUACGAAAUAUUCCGUCAAGGAAGCAAAGCUAAGAGCUUGAGGGGAAGAGAACAAUACUUUUAGGUGAAGUGAGUCCACGGAUGGUAAAGCAUUUGUAUGGAGAGCACAAGGAAAAUUGGCUAGAGAAGUCCCGCGAGGGGCGAGAUUGUUUUGAUCUAAAAUUGUAGUUCUGUACAGAUGCUAGAUUUCGGCAUACUGAAAGGCUUCAAAAAGUUGUACAUGUGUUUUCGCAUGUCAAAAUACCUAUAUAAAGAGCGCAAGAAGCACAAAGACCAAGACAGCAGCAGCAGCAGCGACGAAGAGGGCGGUCAGAAAAGAAAAAACAGAACUUCAUCAUCCAAAAC
Molecule: long non-coding RNA, 478 nt
Filed under: Linum usitatissimum (flax)
Lineage: Eukaryota; Viridiplantae; Streptophyta; Magnoliopsida; Malpighiales; Linaceae
Description: long non-coding RNA (LUSI_LNC001680)
Source: RNAcentral